Molecule: long non-coding RNA, 2537 nt
Organism: Cucumis sativus (cucumber)
Lineage: Eukaryota; Viridiplantae; Streptophyta; Magnoliopsida; Cucurbitales; Cucurbitaceae
Exons: 2
Source: RefSeq, a predicted model, not a curated record
CUUAAACUAAUAGGUUUAAAAACCAAUCUAUUCUACCGAACUGAAGGCAUUUAGGAAACAAACUUUAGGUUUGGAAUGGACACUUAUAUUUAGGAACUUGAUCUUUUGGAACAAUUGAUAAUGAAAGUGAGGUAAAAUCUUAAAUUGCUUUUCUAUCCUUUCCACCUUAUUAAAUUCAACCAACUCUUCUCUACUAUUAACCAUCCAUAACGUUUAAGCUUAAAUAACUAUUUUACAAUUUUUUGGAAUUCUAAUUUUUCAUCAUAUAAUUAAUUGUUUUUCUCGUCAUUGCCAACGUCGAAUUUUAGGUGUUUUUCUUUUAUGACUCUAUAAUUAUUUUUGAAAGUUCAUAAAAAAAACAAGUCUAAUUAUUCUAAUAAUAAGUUGACUUUUUCUUAUUCCCUCCUUCUAAUAAUAAAUAAAUAAAUAUGGAAAAUAUGUGAAGCAAAACCAAAAUAAAUCAAUAUUAAUGAAUAUCCAUACAAUUUAAGAAUGUUAAUUAAAGAAAUAAAAUUUAUAAUCUUACUAUUUAAUUCAUAUGCUAAAUUUUGGAAUCUAACUCAAUAAGUAGAAAUUUAGAAAGCAAAUUUGUUAUUUACUAUUAUUAUAUUUUUAAAAACUUAUAUUUGGUCCUUACCCAGACCGAGUAAACACCCACAGUGAGUCCCUGAUAGCGUCUUAAAACUAUGAGUUAAGACCGCACAGGACAUGAAUUGGUUGCGCUAAGACUGCACACAAUGAGAUUUGGAGACGUUAAGUAUAGCGAUAUGCAAGCUGAGAUAAGGACGUGACAGAAGCCAUGUGACGUUUUGAUACUAGAUGAUCCUCACCGCUGGAAAGAAGUAAUCAUUCUGUCAUAGAAAGCCUCAGCGAAGAAGGCCUAUAAAUAAGAGAAGUCUGACAAGCUUAAGAGCUUAUUUUUACCUUGUGUUUAGUUAAAAGAGUUGAAGGAAUUUGCAAAGAUGGAAGCUGCCACGAGUUCAGAUUCCGCAAGAAUUUGCAAGGAUUUUAGCUAAGAGUUAUUGUUUAUAAACUAUCUUUGAAUUAUAGUAGUGAUAAUUUUACUUUAAGUAGUAUUGUAUCACUUAAAGUAUAUAGAGUAAUGAUUUGAUUUUGUAAACUCUAUACUUAACAUCGUAAGAUUACACUUAUGAUUUAUAUCUCAAAGUAAUAAAAUCUCAGAUCAAAGACCCCCUAGACAUAGAUUCAGUGUCAUCGAACUGGGUUAGCAAUGUCUAAUGUUUCUACUGUCUCUACUUAUCUGCACUGUUAGUUGUUUCUACUGUUGAUUAAUUGAGGGUUCAUCCUUUUUUAUUGUUGUUGAUGCUUUCCUUAUUUUAUCACUUGGUAUUAGUGAAAGGUUUUCUACAUUCUAUGGAUUUUGUACAUGAAGAAACUUCAGCAAUAAAACCCUCAGUUCUAAUGGGGUAGACUAUGCCUACUAGAAAGUUGUGAUUGCUAGAUGGGAAAGUCACUCUUAAACCUAAGAUAACCUGGUCUAAAGAAAAGGAUGAAGCAUCUCUCAAAAACUCUAGGGCUUUAAAUGUAAUAUUUAAUGGUGUAGAUCAGAAUGUCUUCAAACUGAUCAAUACAUGUUCCUCUUCAAAGAAGGCCUAGAAUAUUCUGGAAACUGCUUAUGAAGGGACAUCCAAAGUUCAAAUAUCCAAACUUCAGAUUUUAUCCUAAAAAAUCCAAGGCUCUCAAGAUGGAUGAAGACGAAAUAAAAACUCACUCAUACAAAUCUGGUAAGGAAAGUACUAAGAUCUCUUCCUUCUCGAUUUAAUAUGAAAGUCACAACUAUAGAGGAAGCAAAUGAUAUCACGACCAUGAAACGGGUGAGUUGUUUGGGUCCUUGAGAACAUUUAAACUUUCACUGGAGGACAAUGGUUUGAAGAAGAAAAGUGAUACUGCUUUUCAAGGGAUCAGUGAGGAAAUGUCAAAGUCGAACCUAAAACAUUCUCAGGAUGAGAAUUUAGCUGAGACAAUUGCUUUACUGUCAAAACGAUUUUUAAAAUUUAAGAGUAAGUUCUAUAAGAAGUUUGGAGGAUUCAGAACCCCAUCCUAGUAGAAAUUUUACUAGUUCCAACAACCUCGGCUUAGAAUCCUCAAGCUCAUUUGUAGCAUCUCAUCGGAAAGAUGGUGAUCGAAGUACUAGUCAGAAAAAUAAGAGUGUCAAAUGCCAUGAAUGUGAAGGAUUUAGGCGCUAUCAAGCAAAAUGUGCUACAUAUUUAAAAAGAAAGAAAAAUGGACUUGCUAUUACUUUAUUUGAUGAAGAGACAUCUUCUGAUAGUGAUUGUGAAGACUUUGGAAGAGCUUUAAUCCACUGUGAAAUAGAAGAAAAAAUAGAAGUUACUGAUGGUAAAUUGUUUCCUAUAUCAGAAGAAGAAGGGUAUAAAUUAGAUACUGAAAUAUCUUCUAUCCCUACUGAUAGAAUCUAUCCACUAAUUUCAAAGAAUUAUUAUUUCUCUGGAAAAAAAAAAUCAAUAAGUGCUUAAAGGACAACAAGAUCGCAUUUUAACUCUCUUCGAAGAUAAUUA